RNAcentral lists this ribosomal RNA (253 nucleotides) under uncultured bacterium. RNAcentral's name for it is "partial 16S ribosomal RNA". It matches the Rfam family "Bacterial small subunit ribosomal RNA", at positions 524 to 776 of the family's 1533-position model. The record is from RNAcentral.
UACGUAGGGUGCAAGCGUUAAUCGGAAUUACUGGGCGUAAAGCGUGCGCAGGCGGUUUUGUAAGUCUGUCGUGAAAUCCCCGGGCUUAACCUGGGAAUUGCAUUUGUGACUGCACGGCUAGAGUGUGUCAGAGGGGGGUAGAAUUCCACGUGUAGCAGUGAAAUGCGUAGAUAUGUGGAGGAAUACCGAUGGCGAAGGCAGCCCCCUGGGAUAACACUGACGCUCAUGCACGAAAGCGUGGGGAGCAAACAGG